Molecule: long non-coding RNA, 422 nt
Organism: Oncorhynchus tshawytscha (Chinook salmon)
Lineage: Eukaryota; Metazoa; Chordata; Actinopteri; Salmoniformes; Salmonidae
Source: Ensembl
CCAUCGGGGGGAACCCCAACACUCCCUUAUUUUACUGGCUACCUCUCUGAAGAGUUGUCAGGGAGUUAGCACCCUAACCCAUCGGGGGGAACCCCAACACUCCCUUAUUUUACUGGCUACCUCUCUGAAGAGUUGCCAGGUCAGGGAGUUAGCACCCUAACCCAUCGGGGGGAACCCCAACACUCCCUUAUUUUACUGGCUACCUCUCUGAAGAGUUGCCAGGUCAGGGAGUUAGCACCCUAACCCAUCGGGGGGAACCCCAACACUCCCUUAUUUUACUGGCUACCUCUCUGAAGAGUUGCCAGGUCAGGGAGUUAGCACCCUAACCCAUCUGGGGGAACCCCAACACUCCAGUAGACUCAAUCUGGUGAAGUUUCUAUCGAAACAAAGACAGUAAUGAAAUCAGCAAUACACACAUCACA